GACUGAAGACGUUGCCUUGGUGCGUGGAGUCCGCCGGCAACCAACUCCGGCGAGUGCGAACGGAGGCGCGGUCGCCGAGGCGGCGGUCUAGGGCUCCGGCGCUGGCGAUAAGGAAGGCGGAGGAGAAGUCGGAGUGGUGAAUCGUAAGUAGUCGACGGCGAAACGCACGAGAUCGGCGACCACGUGCCGCCACGUGAGCGGUUAGUGAUUCCGAGAUAUAACGUCCCCAACAAGCGUCGGAAGCAGCUCCGGGAAC
Molecule: long non-coding RNA, 256 nt
Filed under: Rosa chinensis
Lineage: Eukaryota; Viridiplantae; Streptophyta; Magnoliopsida; Rosales; Rosaceae
Description: sRNA RchiOBHm_Chr6g0282991
Source: RNAcentral